This 465-nucleotide ribosomal RNA is filed under the name Vreelandella stevensii. RNAcentral's name for it is "partial 16S ribosomal RNA". It matches the Rfam family "Bacterial small subunit ribosomal RNA", at positions 338 to 795 of the family's 1533-position model. The record is from RNAcentral. Lineage: Bacteria; Pseudomonadati; Pseudomonadota; Gammaproteobacteria; Oceanospirillales; Halomonadaceae.
CCUACGGGCGGCAGCAGUGGGGAAUAUUGGACAAUGGGGGGAACCCUGAUCCAGCCAUGCCGCGUGUGUGAAGAAGGCCCUCGGGUUGUAAAGCACUUUCAGUGAGGAAGAACGCCUGGUGGUUAAUACCCAUCAGGAAAGACAUCACUCACAGAAGAAGCACCGGCUAACUCCGUGCCAGCAGCCGCGGUAAUACGGAGGGUGCGAGCGUUAAUCGGAAUUACUGGGCGUAAAGCGCGCGUAGGUGGCUUGACAAGCCGGUUGUGAAAGCCCCGGGCUCAACCUGGGAACGGCAUCCGGAACUGUCAAGCUAGAGUGCAGGAGAGGAAGGUAGAAUUCCCGGUGUAGCGGUGAAAUGCGUAGAGAUCGGGAGGAAUACCAGUGGCGAAGGCGGCCUUCUGGACUGACACUGACACUGAGGUGCGAAAGCGUGGGUAGCAAACAGGAUUAGAUACCCUUGUAGUC